AUGGUUGGAUGAAAAGUUUACUUUCUUUAUUUUAUAAAAAAAAGUUAAUUUUUAGAUCAAAAAGUCUAAAUUUUGUUAGAGGACGAGAAGACCCCAUAGAACUUUAUUCUCCCCCAAAUAAUUAUUUACUUGUAAAUAAUUUUUGUUUAUUUGGGGGGAGAAUUUUGUUGGGGUGACAAAAAAAUUUUUAUAACUUUUUUUAUUAAUUUCAUUUGUUUAUGAGUUUUUGAUCCUUUAGUAAGGAAUUAGGAUUAAGUUACCUUGGGGAUAACAGCGUUAUUGUUUUAGAGAGUUCAUAUUGAUAAAAUAGUUUGCGACCUCGAUGUUGGAUUAAAAUAAGUCUUAGGGGCAGAAUAU
Molecule: ribosomal RNA, 357 nt
Filed under: Tinicephalus hortulanus
Lineage: Eukaryota; Metazoa; Arthropoda; Insecta; Hemiptera; Miridae
Description: partial large subunit ribosomal RNA
Rfam family: Bacterial large subunit ribosomal RNA (bases 51-357)
Source: RNAcentral